GGGUAAUGGCACGGGGACCCACCAGCUUGUCUGCCGCCAUCUGGGGUACAGUGCUGGAAGCGGGGAUACAGGGACAAAUAAGACACAGAUCCUGUUCCUAAAGAGGCUGGAGUGCAAUGGCAUGAUCUCAGCUCACUGCAACCUCUGCCUCCCGGGUUCAAGCAAUUCUCCUGUCUCAGCCUCCUGAGUAGCUGGAUUACAGAGAAACACAGAGGAGAGACCCAGAGAGAAGGAGAAGGCCGCAUGAAGAUGGAGCAGAGACUGGAGUUAUUCAGCCAAGUCAAGGAAUGCCUGGAGCACCAGAAGCCGGAAGAGGCAAGGAAGGAUCCUCCCUUAGAGCAUUUGGAAGAGUGUGGCCCUGCCAACACCUUGACUUCAAACUUCUGGCCUCCAUAACUAUGAAAUAAAUUCUUGUUGUUUUAA
This 423-nucleotide long non-coding RNA is filed under the name Homo sapiens (human). RNAcentral describes it as "non-protein coding LINC01702:17". The record is from RNAcentral. Lineage: Eukaryota; Metazoa; Chordata; Mammalia; Primates; Hominidae.